This 132-nucleotide non-coding RNA is filed under the name Vibrio sp. Its description in RNAcentral is "TPP sequence". It matches the Rfam family "TPP riboswitch aptamer (THI element)". Rfam says of the family: Vitamin B(1) in its active form thiamin pyrophosphate (TPP) is an essential coenzyme that is synthesised by coupling of pyrimidine and thiazole moieties in bacteria. The previously detected thiamin-regulatory element, thi box was extended, resulting in a new, highly conserved RNA secondary structure, the THI element, which is widely distributed in eubacteria and also occurs in some archaea. The record is from RNAcentral. Lineage: Bacteria; Pseudomonadati; Pseudomonadota; Gammaproteobacteria; Vibrionales; Vibrionaceae. RNAcentral also lists the same sequence under 1 other name.
CUUCACUCAACGGGGAGCUGUUAUGAGUUGCUGGGUCUAAUACCAGUAUUCUUGUGUUCGGCUGAGAUCAAUGUUGGAACCCGUCGACCUGAACCAGAUAAUACUGGCGUAGGAAUUGAGCACUAACAUUCA